CAGCCGCCGCGGUAAUACCGGCGGCCCGAGUGGCGGUCACUAUUAUUGGGCUUAAAGCGUCCGGAGCCGGGUUGGGAAGUCCUCCGGGAAAUCUGGCCGCUUAACGGUCAGAAUGCCGGAGGAUACUCCCAGCCUAGGGAGCGGGAGAGGCCGAGGGGAUUCCCGGAGUAGGGGUGAAAUCCUAUAAUCCCGGGAGGACCAGCUGUGGCGAAGGCGCUCGGCUGGAACGCGUCCGACGGUGAGGGACGAAGGCCAGGGGAGCAAACCGGAUUAGAUACCCGGGUAGUCCUGGCUGUAAACGAUGCGGACUUUGUGUCGGACAAGCUAUGAGCUUGUCCGGUGCCGGAGGGAAACCGUUAAGUCCGCCGCCUGGGGAGUACGGCCGCAAGGCUGAAACUUAAAGGAAUUGGCGGG
This 414-nucleotide ribosomal RNA is filed under the name uncultured microorganism. RNAcentral describes it as "bacterial SSU rRNA". It matches the Rfam family "Archaeal small subunit ribosomal RNA", at positions 459 to 872 of the family's 1478-position model. The record is from RNAcentral.